This 791-nucleotide ribosomal RNA is filed under the name Bacillus safensis. RNAcentral describes it as "bacterial SSU rRNA". It matches the Rfam family "Bacterial small subunit ribosomal RNA", at positions 55 to 830 of the family's 1533-position model. Lineage: Bacteria; Bacillati; Bacillota; Bacilli; Caryophanales; Bacillaceae. The record is from RNAcentral.
AUGCAGUCGAGCGGACAGAAGGGAGCUUGCUCCCGGAUGUUAGCGGCGGACGGGUGAGUAACACGUGGGUAACCUGCCUGUAAGACUGGGAUAACUCCGGGAAACCGGAGCUAAUACCGGAUAGUUCCUUGAACCGCAUGGUUCAAGGAUGAAAGACGGUUUCGGCUGUCACUUACAGAUGGACCCGCGGCGCAUUAGCUAGUUGGUGGGGUAAUGGCUCACCAAGGCGACGAUGCGUAGCCGACCUGAGAGGGUGAUCGGCCACACUGGGACUGAGACACGGCCCAGACUCCUACGGGAGGCAGCAGUAGGGAAUCUUCCGCAAUGGACGAAAGUCUGACGGAGCAACGCCGCGUGAGUGAUGAAGGUUUUCGGAUCGUAAAGCUCUGUUGUUAGGGAAGAACAAGUGCGAGAGUAACUGCUCGCACCUUGACGGUACCUAACCAGAAAGCCACGGCUAACUACGUGCCAGCAGCCGCGGUAAUACGUAGGUGGCAAGCGUUGUCCGGAAUUAUUGGGCGUAAAGGGCUCGCAGGCGGUUUCUUAAGUCUGAUGUGAAAGCCCCCGGCUCAACCGGGGAGGGUCAUUGGAAACUGGGAAACUUGAGUGCAGAAGAGGAGAGUGGAAUUCCACGUGUAGCGGUGAAAUGCGUAGAGAUGUGGAGGAACACCAGUGGCGAAGGCGACUCUCUGGUCUGUAACUGACGCUGAGGAGCGAAAGCGUGGGGAGCGAACAGGAUUAGAUACCCUGGUAGUCCACGCCGUAAACGAUGAGUGCUAAGUGUUAGGGGG